GCCCAUUCUGUUUCCUUAUUGUUUGGCAUGGGAAUUACAGAAAGGGGACCUAGGAGCAGUGGGAACACACGUAAGAAUCUGGGUUCCAGCGCUGGCCGGUAUACUCAGUGGUUCGAUUCCCAUACCUGCGUGGCAGGUUGGUCCCGCCAGUCUCGGGGCACGCGGGAGGCAGCCAGUAGAUGUGUCUCUCACAUGGAUGUCCCUUUCUCUCUCCCCUCCUCCUUCCGCGCCCUUCCACUCUCUAAAAAUCAAUGGAAAAAAUAGGGUGUGUUUCACAGACAUGAGCAGAACAAGGAUGAUGGACCAGCUCCAGGCCCAGAAAAGCAGCAAAACCAGACAAGUGACAAGUGGCUGCUUCAGGACCAGCUGCAGUGACUGAUGACCCCCUGCCCUGGCGCUGACCAGUCAGUGGAGAUCAUGGCCCUGAAAAAGCUCCCCUGGAAAGCUGAUGGACAUUCUAUUGAGACCCUCUCCUGAGAGCUCCCCUAAGAUUCCCACCUGCAAGAUAGAAGUACAGGAGGAUGAAGGACCCAUCCCAUUGAGAACUCUCCUCCCCGGAGCAUGCCAGGGCCUUUCCCUUGCCCCUACUUCCCGCUAAGGCAGUGGUUCUCAACCUUCCUAAUGCUGAGGCCCUUUAAUACAGUUCCUCAUGUUGUGGUGACCCCCAACCAUAAAAUUAUUUUCGUUGCUACUUCAUAACUAAUUUUGCUACUGUUAUGAAUCGUAAUGUAAAUAUCUGAUAUGCAGGAUGUAUUUUCAUUGUUACAAAUUGAACAUAAUUAAAGCCUAGUGAUUAAUCACAAAAACAAUAUGUAAUUAUAUGUUUUCUGAUGGUCUUAGGCGACCCCUGUGAAAGGGUGGUUCGACCCCCAAAGGGGUCACGACCCACAGGUUGAGAGCUGCUGCUCUAAGGGACCGUGAGACUUGCAACCAGGGGAGCAAUGGCGAGCACAGCUUGUCCCAGGCUCACUCCCUGAACCUGUCUCCAAGGCCCCCUUUUCUCUGACUUUUCAGUGACCCAGAACAGCCCCACCUAGGCUCUCCUGUUACUUUUUCUAUGCAUCUUACUUGUUUCACUGCCCUUCGUAUAUUUUUGCUGACAUCAUCAACCAGUGCUGUGUAGCCCUUCCCUUUGGAUAGCCCCAUCCCCUUUUCUUUAAAUAAAUUCAAUUUUUCUUGAA
Long non-coding RNA from Myotis daubentonii (Daubenton's bat), 1181 nucleotides. RefSeq lists it as uncharacterized. Lineage: Eukaryota; Metazoa; Chordata; Mammalia; Chiroptera; Vespertilionidae. The record is from RefSeq and is a predicted model, not a curated record.